GUACCCUGUUAUUUAAAAUGUAAAUUUAAAACUAAGGUAGUAUUAGUUAUGUUCUUGAAACUUAAAAAAUUUGGCGGUAUUUUAGUCUAUUCAGAGGAACCUGUUUUAUAAUCGAUAAUCCACGAUGGACCUUACUUAAAUUUGUAAUCAGUUUAUAUACCGUCGUUAUUAGAAUAUUUUAUUAGAAUGAUAAUAUUUAUAAUUUUUUAUAAGAAAAUAUAUCAGAUCAAGGUGUAGCUAAUAUUUAAGCUUAAAUGGGUUACAAUAAAUUUAUUUAAAUGAAUAUAAAUUUGAAAUAUUUAUUGAAAUUGGAUUUGAUAGUAAAAUUAUAUAGAUAAAUAAUUUGAUUUUAGCUCUAAAAUAUGCACAAAUCGCCCG
RNAcentral lists this ribosomal RNA (378 nucleotides) under Phyto adolescens. RNAcentral describes it as "partial small subunit ribosomal RNA". Lineage: Eukaryota; Metazoa; Arthropoda; Insecta; Diptera; Rhinophoridae. The record is from RNAcentral.